Molecule: ribosomal RNA, 468 nt
Filed under: uncultured bacterium
Lineage: Bacteria
Description: partial 16S ribosomal RNA
Rfam family: Bacterial small subunit ribosomal RNA
Source: RNAcentral
GACGAACGCUGGCGGCGUGCUUAACACAUGCAAGUCGAACGGUGAAGCUCCAGCUUGCUGGAGUGGAUCAGUGGCGAACGGGUGAGUAACACGUGAGCAACCUGCCCCUGACUCUGGAAUAAGCGCUGGAAACGGCGUCUAAUACUGGAUACGAGAAGGGUCCGCAUGGGCACUUUCUGGAAAGUUUUUCGGUUGGGGAUGGGCUCGCGGCCUAUCAGCUUGUUGGUGAGGUAAUGGCUCACCAAGGCGACGACGGGUAGCCGGCCUGAGAGGGCGACCGGCCAAACUGGGACUGAGAAACGGCCCAGACUCCUACGGGAGGCAGCAGUGGGGAAUAUUGCACAAUGGGCGAAAGCCUGAUGCAGCGACGCCGCGUGAGGGAUGACGGCCUUCGGGUUGUAAACCUCUUUCAGCAGGGAAGAAGCGAAAGUGACGGUACCUGCAGAAGAAGCACCGGCUAACUACGUG